UUCGACAAGGUCUCCGUUGGUGAACCAGCGGAGGGAUCAUUACAGAGUUGCAAAACUCCCACAAACCAUCGCGAAUCUUACCCGUACGGUUGCCUCGGCGCUGGCGGUCCUUCGGGACCCUCGGGCCUCCCGCUCGCGGGGGGCUGCCCGCCGGAGUGCCGAAACCAAACUCUUGAUAUUUUAUGUCUCUCUGAGUAAACUUUUAAAUAAGUCAAAACUUUCAACAACGGAUCUCUUGGUUCUGGCAUCGAUGAAGAACGCAGCGAAAUGCGAUAAGUAAUGUGAAUUGCAGAAUUCAGUGAAUCAUCGAAUCUUUGAACGCACAUUGCGCUCGCCAGUAUUCUGGCGAGCAUGCCUGUUCGAGCGUCAUUUCAACCAUCAAGCUCUGCUUGCGUUGGGGAUCCGCGGCUGCCCGCGGUCCCUCAAAAACAGUGGCGGGCUCGCUAGUCACACCGAGCGUAGUAACUCUACAUCGCUAUGGUCGUGCGGCGGGUUCUUGCCGUAAAACCCCCCAAUUUCUAAGGUUGACCUCGGAUCAGGUAGGAAUACCCGCUGAACUUGGUAAAAGCAUAUCAA
RNAcentral lists this ribosomal RNA (576 nucleotides) under uncultured fungus. RNAcentral describes it as "eukaryotic LSU rRNA". The stretch from base 216 to 369 matches the Rfam family "5.8S ribosomal RNA". The record is from RNAcentral. Lineage: Eukaryota; Fungi.